ACACUCUUGAUGCACAGUGCAUACACUAAAAUUGAAGGGAUACAGAGAUGCUAACAUGCCUCCUGAACCAGGGUGACACAUAAAUUUAUGUGGAGCAUUCUAUACUA
Acomys russatus (golden spiny mouse) is the source of this 107-nucleotide small nuclear RNA. The record is from RefSeq and is a predicted model, not a curated record. Lineage: Eukaryota; Metazoa; Chordata; Mammalia; Rodentia; Muridae.